AUUGAACGCUGGCGGCAUGCCUUACACAUGCAAGUCGAACGGUAACAGGUCUUCGGAUGCUGACGAGUGGCGAACGGGUGAGUAAUACAUCGGAACGUGCCUAGUAGUGGGGGAUAACUACUCGAAAGAGUGGCUAAUACCGCAUGAGAUCUACGGAUGAAAGCAGGGGAUCGCAAGACCUUGUGCUACUAGAGCGGCCGAUGGCAGAUUAGGUAGUUGGUGGGAUAAAAGCUUACCAAGCCGACGAUCUGUAGCCGGUCCGAGAGGACGAUCAGCCACCCUGGGACUGAGACCACGCCCAGAAUCCUACCGGAGGCCGCAGGGGGGAAUUUUGGACAAUGGGGGAAAGCCUGAUUCAGCCAUUCCGCGUGCAGGAUGAAGGCCUUUGGGUUUUAAACCGCUUUUGUACCGAACGAAAAGCCCCGGGUUAAAUCCCUUGGGGUCUGACCGGAAUGGAAGAAUAAGCACCGGCUAACUACGUGCCAGCAGCCGCCGUAA
RNAcentral lists this ribosomal RNA (498 nucleotides) under uncultured bacterium. RNAcentral describes it as "partial 16S ribosomal RNA". It matches the Rfam family "Bacterial small subunit ribosomal RNA", at positions 30 to 523 of the family's 1533-position model. The record is from RNAcentral.